Molecule: long non-coding RNA, 355 nt
Organism: Empidonax traillii (willow flycatcher)
Lineage: Eukaryota; Metazoa; Chordata; Aves; Passeriformes; Tyrannidae
Exons: 2
Source: RefSeq, a predicted model, not a curated record
CAUAAAAGAGGAGAGCCAGAGCUGGAGUUUGAGAAUUUGAAGAAAGAUGAUGAUAUCUGUUUGUUAAAAUUCAGUUUCUCCACCUGAUGCUAAAUAAACAAGGCAACAGGUGGUAGCUCUCCCAGGUCACAGAAAUCAUCUGCUACAGCAGUCAAUACUCAGCUUGUGUCUCUAGUGCCUCCAGUGCAUCUCGUGGAGCCUGGCAGUAGCUCCCCUUACAUCUGCUGUUUGUGAGGCAGGCAGAGAGCCCAUCACAGAGGGAGAGCAACGCCAGGCACAGGAGUCACGCUUGCCUCCACUUCUGUUACAGCCAAGGAGGAUGAGAAACAUGCUCUUUCCCCUCAGGCAGCCAGAG